GCUGGGCAUAGUGGUGCAUGCCUCUAGUCCCAGCUACUUGGGAGGCUGAGGUGAGAGGAUCACUCGAGCCCGGGAGGUCAAGGCUGCAGUGAGCCAAGAUCACACCACUGCACUCCAGCCUGGGACACAGAGCGAGACCCUGUCUCAAAAAUAAAAUAAAAUUAAAUAACAUAAAAAUUAGCCAGGCAUGAUGGUACAUGCUGAGGAGGCUGAGACUGGAGGAUCACUUGUGGCCAGGAAUUGGAGGCUGCAGUAAGCUGUGAUCAUGCCACUGCACUCUAGCCUGGGCAACAGAGUGAGACCCUGUCUCUU
Unclassified non-coding RNA from Macaca mulatta (Rhesus monkey), 312 nucleotides. It matches the Rfam family "Metazoan signal recognition particle RNA". From Rfam's summary of the family: The signal recognition particle (SRP) is a universally conserved ribonucleoprotein. The record is from Ensembl. NCBI's taxonomy places the organism in Eukaryota, Metazoa, Chordata, Mammalia, Primates, Cercopithecidae.